RNAcentral lists this ribosomal RNA (283 nucleotides) under uncultured prokaryote. RNAcentral's name for it is "partial 16S ribosomal RNA". It matches the Rfam family "Bacterial small subunit ribosomal RNA", at positions 524 to 817 of the family's 1533-position model. The record is from RNAcentral.
UACGUAGGGGGCAAGCGUUAUCCGGAAUUAUUGGGCGUAAAGAGUGCGUAGGUGGUUACCUAAGCGCAAGGUUUAAUCUUGAGGCUUAACCUCAUUCUGCCUUGCGAACUGGGCUACUUGAGUGCUGGAGGGGAAAGCGGAAUUCCCAGUGUAGCGGUGAAAUGCGUAGAUAUUGGGAAGAACACCGGAGGCGAAGGCGGCUUUCUGGACAGUAACUGACACUGAGGCACGAAAGCGUGGGGAGCAAACAGGAUUAGAUACCCCCGUAGUCCCUGAGCGGGCU